UCUAGUUUUUAAAUUUAAAAUAUGCUGUUCUAUUUUAAGAUGCCAAACACUCAAGAAAUAUCUGCCUGUCCCAGUGACUCUGUGCUGCUUCUGCUGCCCACAGUCGUUUUGACUGGACAAACUGGUUCCUGUAAAAGGGGACAUGUGGUGUGGCCCCUCUAGAGUGUCAGGGGGACCUGCUCAGCAAACUGACCCUGCAGAAGGGCCUGAACACUGGACUCUGGCAUGGAGAAAGAAGAAAGCUUCUGUCUUGUGUGGAUACCUGGAGUCUCUUCUCAGCAUGCAGGAAAGCCAAGGUAAGAAUGAAGGAACUGAAAAUUUUGUAGAGAAUAUUUUGCAAAGAAAGAAACACUUCACAGCAGAUAGGGACAAUUUGUGCAGUUGUAUUCCCAGACACUCACCAACCUGCAAAAAGAUGGGAAGAAACAGAGAAAUGGAAGCAAAAAUAGUUUGUAGGAGAAAGGAAGAAGAGAGAACAAGACAACUGAAGGCAAAAACUUUAAUAAAGGAAUAGGUCUACUGCAACAAAGGAAACAACAGCAAAAUACAGAGACAAGGACACAUCCUAACCCCAUUAAUAUCAUCAGGAAUUUGCCUUCAUCUUCAGUGGGAACAGAACUUCAAAGACACAGGAAUCACCCGUAAAACCUGAAGGGUAAAAUCUGCACCUUCCACAGUCUCUGACACAAACUGUGUUUGAGGGUGGGGGUAGUCCCCACACGAUGUACAUGUCCCCAGCAGGAGAUGCAUGACCAUGACCUUGUCCCUGGCACUGGCAGGGUGGUGUGAGAAUAGACCUCAAAGUCCUCAUGCCUUGACAGAAGAACCUCUCUGAGUCACAUGAGCUGGGCACAGAUAAACCUCCUGUCUCUCUUUGUUCAUGGCAGUACCUUCAGUGCCCAAAUCAGGAAGAAGUGAUAUUUUUUUACAUGUCAGUAGCCUAAGAUAUUCUUUCAAAGUUAGUCUCUGGCAGAAUGAAAGCUCUGUCUCUCCUCAGUCCUGAUUUGUGUUGUUAGAACCGAGGAAGAUGAAUGGUGUGGAUAUAAAGAAUAGUUUCUUCUCUAGGAAGAUUUAAGAUCUUACUUGGAGACUAAGAACAUAUUUUAGGUGGACAUAGCCUGCUAUAAUGCUGGGAAUGAGGGAAAACUGGGAUGAGGGAACUCAUUCCUGGGCAUCUCUGCAAGUCUUGUUUUGGUACUUGCAUCAUACAGCAAACAGAAAUUCAAAGAACAGAGGUACUAAUAGCAGAACUAGUUUUCCUGUCUUCCUUUGGAUGUCUCCUUGUGCUUCUUCCAUUCCUGAGAAUGCGUAAUAUGACAUGGUAUCAAGUUGCUGGAUGAAAAUGUGUAUAAUGUACAACCCAGAGAGGUUGCUACACUCUUGAUGAGUUUAUUUGCUCCUCAUAGUCCUAUUUUAGCUCUGUGAAAAAAAGUCUCUCUCUGUCCUUCAUUAUUUACUGGUCACCAAAAUAAAUCUGACAACAUAGACUCUUUCAAGUAAACCAGAUUCCAAGGAACAGUAAGAAAACGUUCCAUGGGAGUGUGUACCCUAAGGCCGCUCCAUUGAUUUCUAAUUCUAUUUCAUAUGUUUCCAAUGGUGUCUGCACCCCAGCCCAUUGCAGCCAUAUCAGGAAAGCAACGGCAAGCACCUUCAGAAAAACCCCUUUAAAAGAGCUGUGUUUAACAUGUUUGUCUGUCUGUGUUCUAUACAGCAAUUUUCCAUCGCUGAGUGUAAAGAGUUCUGUGGACAACCUUUAAUAAAGCCACAAGUAUGACUACAAAA
This is a non-coding RNA of Sturnus vulgaris (Common starling), 1782 nucleotides long. The record is from RefSeq and is a predicted model, not a curated record. NCBI's taxonomy places the organism in Eukaryota, Metazoa, Chordata, Aves, Passeriformes, Sturnidae.